Molecule: ribosomal RNA, 482 nt
Filed under: uncultured bacterium
Lineage: Bacteria
Description: bacterial SSU rRNA
Rfam family: Bacterial small subunit ribosomal RNA
Source: RNAcentral
AUGAACGCUAGCGGCAGGCCUAAUACAUGCAAGUCGAGCGGCAAGUCGAGGAGUAAUCUAAGACCUAGAGCGGCGCACGGGUGCGUAACGCGUAUGCAACCUACCUCAUACAGGGGGAUAGCCCGGAGAAAUCUGGAUUAAUACCCCAUGGUACUGUUAAUCAGCAUUGGUAUACAGUUAAAGCAUUGCGGUAUAAGAUGGGCAUGCGUCCUAUUAGCUAGAUGGUGAGGUAACGGCUCACCAUGGCUACGAUAGGUAGGGGGCCUGAGAGGGUGGUCCCCCACACUGGUACUGAGACACGGACCAGACUCCUACGGGAGGCAGCAGUGAGGAAUAUUGGUCAAUGGGCGCAAGCCUGAACCAGCCAUGCCGCGUGCAGGAAGAAUGCCCUAUGGGUUGUAAACUGCUUUUAUUUGGGAAUAAACCUCUUUACGUGUAGAGAGCUGAAGGUACCAAAUGAAUAAGCACCGGUUAACUCCGUG